This 253-nucleotide ribosomal RNA is filed under the name uncultured bacterium. Its description in RNAcentral is "partial 16S ribosomal RNA". It matches the Rfam family "Bacterial small subunit ribosomal RNA", at positions 524 to 776 of the family's 1533-position model. The record is from RNAcentral.
UACGUAGGGUGCAAGCGUUGUCCGGAAUUAUUGGGCGUAAAGGGCUCGUAGGCGGUCCAUCGAGUCGGGUGUGAAAAGCUGGGGCUUAACCCCAGACCUGCUUCCGAUACGGGUGGACUAGAGGUAGGUAGGGGAGAACGGAAUUCCUGGUGUAGCGGUGAAAUGCGCAGAUAUCAGGAGGAACACCGGUGGCGAAGGCGGUUCUCUGGGCCUUACCUGACGCUGAGGCGCGAAAGCGUGGGUAGCAAACAGG